This 492-nucleotide ribosomal RNA is filed under the name uncultured bacterium. RNAcentral's name for it is "partial 16S ribosomal RNA". It matches the Rfam family "Bacterial small subunit ribosomal RNA", at positions 30 to 507 of the family's 1533-position model. The record is from RNAcentral.
AUUGAACGCUGGCGGCAUGCUUUACACAUGCCAGUCGAACGGUAACAGGCCUUCGGGUGCUGACGAGUGGCGAACGGGUGAGUAAUGCAUCGGAACGUGCCCAGAGGUGGGGGAUAACGCAGCGAAAGCUGUGCUAAUACCGCAUGUGAUCUGAGGAUGAAAGCGGGGGACCAGGCAGCAAUGUUUGGCCUCGCGCCUUUGGAGCGGCCGAUGUCAGAUUAGGUAGUUGGUGGGGUAAAGGCCUACCAAGCCGACGAUCUGUAGCUGGUCUGAGAGGACGACCAGCCACACUGGGACUUAGACACGGCCCAGACUCCUACGGGAGGCAGCAGUGGGGAAUUUUGGACAAUGGGCGCAAGCCUGAUCCAGCAAUGCCGCGUGCGGGAAGAAGGCCUUCGGGUUGUAAACCGCUUUUGUACGGAACGAAAAGGCUCUGGCUAAUACCUGGGGCUGAUGACGGUACCGUAAGAAUAAGCACCGGCUAACUACGUG